GAUGAACGCUAGCGGCAGGCCUAAUACAUGCAAGUCGAGGGAGAAUGUUGGAUUCGUCUGACAUGAAACCGGCGCACGGGUGCGUAACACGUAUGCAACCUACCUUUAACUGGGGUAUAGCUCAGAGAAAUCUGAAUUAAUCCCCCAUAAGACUACGACAUGGCAUCAUGAUGUAGUUAAAGCUCCGGCGGUUAAGGAUGGGCAUGCGGUACAUUAGCUAGUUGGUGAGGUAAUGGCUCACCAAGGCUACGAUGUAUAGGGGGUCUGAGAGGAUGAUCCCCCACACUGGUACUGUGACACGGACCAGACUCCUACGGGAGGCAGCAGUAGAGAAUAUUGGUCAAUGGACGCAAGUCUGAACCAGCCAUGCCGCGUGAAGGAGGAAGGCCCUAUGGGUCGUAAACUUCUUUUAUUAGGGAAGAAAAAACGGGAUGCGUCCUGUACUGACGGUACUUAAUGAAUAAGGAUCGGCUAACUUCGUGCCAGCCGCCGCGGUAA
RNAcentral lists this ribosomal RNA (498 nucleotides) under uncultured bacterium. RNAcentral describes it as "partial 16S ribosomal RNA". It matches the Rfam family "Bacterial small subunit ribosomal RNA", at positions 28 to 523 of the family's 1533-position model. The record is from RNAcentral.